Molecule: ribosomal RNA, 253 nt
Filed under: uncultured bacterium
Lineage: Bacteria
Description: partial 16S ribosomal RNA
Rfam family: Bacterial small subunit ribosomal RNA
Source: RNAcentral
CCCGUAGGGGACGAUCGUUGUCCGGAUUCAUUGGGCGUAAAGCGCGCGUAGGCGGCUCGGAAAGUCGGGUGUGAAAGCCCGGGGCUCAACCCCGGGACUGCAUCCGAUACUUCCGGGCUGGAGGUAGGUAGGGGAGAUCGGAAUUCCUGGUGUAGCGGUGAAAUGCGCAGAUAUCAGGAGGAACACCGGUGGCGAAGGCGGAUCUCUGGGCCUUACCUGACGCUGAGGCGCGAAAGCUAGGGGAGAGAACAGG